Molecule: transfer RNA, 72 nt
Filed under: Ornithorhynchus anatinus (platypus)
Lineage: Eukaryota; Metazoa; Chordata; Mammalia; Monotremata; Ornithorhynchidae
Rfam family: tRNA
About the family: Transfer RNA (tRNA) molecules are approximately 80 nucleotides in length. Their secondary structure includes four short double-helical elements and three loops (D, anti-codon, and T loops). Further hydrogen bonds mediate the characteristic L-shaped molecular structure. tRNAs have two regions of fundamental functional importance: the anti-codon, which is responsible for specific mRNA codon recognition, and the 3' end, to which the tRNAs corresponding amino acid is attached (by aminoacyl-tRNA synthetases). tRNAs cope with the degeneracy of the genetic code in two manners: having more than one tRNA (with a specific anti-codon) for a particular amino acid; and 'wobble' base-pairing, i.e. permitting non-standard base-pairing at the 3rd anti-codon position.
Source: Rfam by way of RNAcentral
AGCAGUGUGGCUUAGUGGCAAGAGCACGGGCCUGGGCGUCAGAAGAUAUGGGUUCUAAUCCCUGCUCUGCCA